UCAUAGCUCAGUUGGAUAGAGUGUUUGGCUACGAACCAAAAGGUCGCAGGUUCGAAUCCUGCUGG
Molecule: transfer RNA, 65 nt
Filed under: human gut metagenome
Rfam family: tRNA
About the family: Transfer RNA (tRNA) molecules are approximately 80 nucleotides in length.
Source: RNAcentral